GUGCUCACUUGGGCAGCACACAUACUAAAACUGGAAUGAUACAGAGAUUAGCAUGACCCCUGCGCAAGGAUGACAUGCAAAUUCAUGAAGCGUUCCAUAUUUUU
Molecule: small nuclear RNA, 104 nt
Organism: Pteropus vampyrus (large flying fox)
Lineage: Eukaryota; Metazoa; Chordata; Mammalia; Chiroptera; Pteropodidae
Source: Ensembl